This 253-nucleotide ribosomal RNA is filed under the name uncultured bacterium. RNAcentral describes it as "partial 16S ribosomal RNA". It matches the Rfam family "Bacterial small subunit ribosomal RNA", at positions 524 to 776 of the family's 1533-position model. The record is from RNAcentral.
UACAGAGGUCCCAAGCGUUGUUCGGAUUCACUGGGCGUAAAGGGUGCGUAGGCGGUCGGGUAAGUCUGAUGUGAAAGCUCGGAGCUUAACUCCGAAAUGGCAUCGGAUACUAUUCGGCUCGAGGAAUGGAGGGGAGACUGGAAUGCUCGGUGUAGCAGUGAAAUGCGUAGAUAUCGUAAGGAAGACCAGUGGCGAAGGCGGGUCUCUGGACAGUUCCUGACGCUGAGGCACGAAGGUCAGGGGAGCAAACGGG